UACGUAGGGGGCAAGCGUUGUCCGGAUUUAUUGGGCGUAAAGAGCGUGUAGGCGGCUAUACAGGUCCGCUGUGAAAACUCGAGGCUCAACCUCGAGACGUCGGUGGAAACCGUAUGGCUAGAGUCCGGAAGAGGAGAGUGGAAUUCCUGGUGUAGCGGUGAAAUGCGCAGAUAUCAGGAAGAACACCCGUGGCGAAGGCGGCUCUCUGGGACGGUACUGACGCUGAGACGCGAAAAGCGUGGGGAGCGAACAGG
RNAcentral lists this ribosomal RNA (254 nucleotides) under uncultured bacterium. RNAcentral describes it as "partial 16S ribosomal RNA". It matches the Rfam family "Bacterial small subunit ribosomal RNA", at positions 524 to 776 of the family's 1533-position model. The record is from RNAcentral.